AUAAUUACUGAAGGAGUUGUUAAAACAAAUAAAAUUACUGUAGGAGUUGUUAAAACAAAUAAAAUUACUGAAGGAGUUGUUAAAACAAAUAAAAUUACUGAAGGAGUUGUUAAAACAAAUAGAAUUGGGAAUCCGCAGCUAAAGGAUAAAACACAAAAAAUAAAUGAAAACACAAAAAGGGAUAACCCGAAGAUCCAGAAAGACAAUGACAAAAGGACACAAAGUGAGAAACCGGGAGAGAAAAGAAAAUCUUUAGGCAGCGGUGGCAAAUCGAAGAUACCACAGAAGAAGACAGAAGCUAAGAAUCCAGAAGUAGUUAAGACAGGUACAAUUAAACCUACGAGUCUUCUGGCAAAGUCGAAAGGCACCAAUAUACCAAUUGUGAAGCGGCCAUAAUUGGGAAAGGAUUAGAAUUUUAACUUUUUUCGUAUAUUUGUAUCCAGUAUUGAUUUUUUCAGUGGAACACGAUAGAAAUUCACGCUUUAAUAAGAAAAAAUGGAAAUAUAUUGUUUAAUAAAAGUUGUUUAUUUGAGUAAUACAUUAUAUUGCCCUCAUCCAUAAAAUAUAAAUUAAUUAACAAAAGUGAUAAUAAGAAUUUUCUUGAUGCGAAUUUUUAAUAAAUUGCCGCCCUCAUCCAUAAAAUGUAAAUUAAUUAACAAAAGUGAUAAUAA
Molecule: long non-coding RNA, 671 nt
Organism: Pieris rapae (cabbage white)
Lineage: Eukaryota; Metazoa; Arthropoda; Insecta; Lepidoptera; Pieridae
Exons: 3
Source: RefSeq, a predicted model, not a curated record